Molecule: ribosomal RNA, 253 nt
Filed under: uncultured archaeon
Lineage: Archaea
Description: partial 16S ribosomal RNA
Rfam family: Archaeal small subunit ribosomal RNA
Source: RNAcentral
AACCAGCACCUCAAGUGGUCAGGAGGAUUAUUGGGCCUAAAGCAUCCGUAGCCGGCUCUGUAAGUUUUCGGUUAAAUCCAUGUGCUUAACGCAUGGGCUGCCGAAAAUACUGCAUAGCUAGGGAGUGGGAGAGGUAGACGGUACUCGGUAGGAAGGGGUAAAAUCCUUUGAUCUAUCGAUGACCACCUGUGGCGAAGGCGGUCUACCAGAACACGUUCGACGGUGAGGGAUGAAAGCUGGGGGAGCAAACCGG